Paramuricea clavata is the source of this 446-nucleotide non-coding RNA. The record is from the annotation of a GenBank genome assembly. NCBI's taxonomy places the organism in Eukaryota, Metazoa, Cnidaria, Anthozoa, Malacalcyonacea, Plexauridae.
GUCGUAAUGUAAUGCGAAACCUGCCUGUCGAGAAAGAGUCUUUGCUUUCAAAAAAUUUCGAUCUGCUGCAUUUCCUUUUCCAGCAUAAGGAAGGUUAAAAUAAAUGUUUACCGCAUUUGUUAUCCCUGUCUCUUAAAGUAAAGCAUUUCCUCGGCGCUUUCACAUUUCCAAACUGGAUUCAAAGUUAUCUAUACAGCUAGAAGCCAGCUGCAUUUCGUCAGUCGUUUCCCAGUUCUUUCGUCUUUCUCGUCCUCGAAUUUUAAGACCAAUUCAAUUGUCUUCACGGAAGGCAAACUUGUAAGAUUUAUUUGACGCCUUUCAAAACAGCUUUCUGCGCUUAAAUGCGCGAGUAGCGAUAAACUUAACGUCAAAAGAAAAUUUUCAAAAUGAUUUUUACUUAAUAGCUUGCCUCAGGUUGCUUUGAAGUUUGACUGUAUUGUUUCCCC